Molecule: transfer RNA, 73 nt
Filed under: Camelus bactrianus (Bactrian camel)
Lineage: Eukaryota; Metazoa; Chordata; Mammalia; Artiodactyla; Camelidae
Also listed under: 3 other names
Rfam family: tRNA
About the family: Transfer RNA (tRNA) molecules are approximately 80 nucleotides in length. Their secondary structure includes four short double-helical elements and three loops (D, anti-codon, and T loops).
Source: Rfam by way of RNAcentral
GAGGGUAUAGCUCAAGUGGUAGAGCACAUACUUAGCAUGCACAGGGUCCUGGGUUCAAUCCCCAGUACCUCCU